UUGGUUGCAGCCAUCAUUGUUGUUUGGCGGGCCGGGCUGGAUUCGAACCCGCCAGCUCAGGUGUAUGUCUGGCGCCGUAGCCGCUUGAGCCACAGGCGCUGAGCCCUGGCUAUUUUUUUGUUGCAGUUGUCAUUGUUGUUUUAGCUGGCCUGGGCCAGGUUCGAACCUGCCAGCCUCGGUGUAUGUGGCUGGCGCCAUAACCACUGUGCUAUGGGCGCCGAGCCUAAGAUAAAUUAAAAAAAAUUUUUCUUCAUUGGGAGGUGCCUGUGGUUCAAAGGAGUGGGGCGCCGGCCCCAUAUGCUGGAGGUGCGGGUUCAAACCCAGCCUGGCCAAAAACUGCAAAAAAAAAAAAAAAAAUUGUUUUUUCUUCAUUAAUGAGUAUAUGGGCUCAGCUCCUGUAGCUCAGUGGUUAGGGCACCAGCCACAUGCACCAGGGCUGUGGGUUUGAACCCAGCCAGGGCCUGCUAAACAACAAUGGAAAAAAAAAAAAUAAAAAACAGCUGGGAGUUGUGGUUGGUGCCUGUAGUCCCAGCUACUGGGAGGCUGAGGCAAGCGAAUUGCUUAAGUCCAAGAGUUUGAGAUUGCUGUGAGCUGUAGGGUGACAUGGUAAGAUCUGUCUCAAAAAAAAAAAAAAAAAAAAAAGAGAAUACAUUCAGGGCAAUUUGAAUCUGUUCCCCGAGGGAAAAAAAUUAACAAUAAAAUUAAAAAUGAAGUCCUUUUAAGGGUAUACAUUUUCCUAAGAAUACAGCUGUGGCUGCCUCCCAUAGGAGUUGGGUAUGAAGGGAAUCUAGCUUUGCAGGGUUUCAGACAAGUUUCUUGUUUGAUCCAGAUAUUUUUUAUUUUUUUAAUGUUUGUAUUUUGCUGUUAUUGAAAUUUAUUUUUAUUCCUCAUGACAUUUGAUUUUUUUGACAUUACAAAUCUUUAGAUUUUAUUAUAUAUAUAUAUACAUAUAUAUUUUUUGAGACAGAAUUUUACUAUGGCACCCUUGGUAGAGUGCUGUGUUGUCACAGCUUACUGCACCCUCAAACUCUUGGGCUCAAGCGAUUCUCUUGCCUCAGCCUUCCAAGUAGCUGGGACCACAGGUGCCUGCCACCACGCUGGGCUAUUUGUUGGUUGCAGUUGUCAUUGUUGUUUAGCAGACCAGGGCCCAGCAUAAACCAACCUGCCUGUGUAUGUGGCCGGCGCCCUACUCACUAAUUUACCUGCACUGAGCCUCUCUGUUCAACUUACAUGAUUAUUUUGUGGCCACUUACCUGGUUGUUUUUUUGUUUUGUUUUUGCAAAUAGUCCACAGGCUUAAAAUAGAUGCAAAAUUUUCUCUCUGAAUAUAAUUAACUUGACCUUGCUGUUUGUAUUAUUCAAUUCCUUUAUUCCCAUACCUGUUUUUUGUCCGCAGAUUUGUCUAUUUCCAGAAUUGGCCUACUGAACCUUGGGGAAGGAUGAGGCGGGCAUUCUGGUCUGGGGUCAAUCUACCGCCCUUCCAGCGGCAGAGUCCAGAGAUCCAAGCUGUACUGCUCUCCUGUACUGAGGGUGGGAGCUGGGGAGUGGGGUAGGAGCAGAGAAAGGUUGGGCGUGCAGUCAGUCCGGUUGCCAGGAAGCAGACCGGGAAACAAUGGGGUCUGGGAGUUGGGCAGGGCAGGAGGGGGAGUGGGUGGGGAUCCAGUCGCCUAGCUUUGUUUUCGGGCCCGCAGCGCACCACAGGUCAGUGCAUCCUGAGCCCCAGUGUCAACCCCUCCCCCACUCAUCCUUUCCCAACACCACUAAAAUGUCCUGAUCCCCACAGAGCCCGAGGGAAUUCCCGUAAGUUUGAGUCUAAACUUGGUACAAACGAGUACACAGUCCUGCUGAACUUGUUUUGAGGGUAGGCGGCAGAGACCACGCCCCCCAGAGAGUAGGGAAAGCUGUUUGUUUGCCUGGAGCCGGGGAUACGGAGUGGUCCCCGCCCCUAAGUCCGGUUGAUGCCCCCGGGAGCGGAGAAGUGCAUUCCCAGCGAAGUCAGGGUGGAGAGUCCGCAGCUGCCACCUUCUGUCCACAGGUGCAAACCGUAAGCGCCCCCAACCCGCGCUAUGGACUCAGACAUCUGGGUUGGCCCUUGGCGGCCACACCGGCCCCGUGGCCCCAUCGGGGCGCACCACAGAGGCCCUGGGCCCAAAUACAAGCUGCCAUCGAGUACAGGCUAUAUCCUACACGACCCGUCGCGGCCCCGAGCCCCCGCCUUCACCUUCGGCGCACGCCUUCCCACGCAGCAGACAACUUGCAGCCCCGGGCCGGGUCACCUGGUACCAGCCCGCCUGACAGUGCGCGGCCGGGACGGCGCGCCCUCUUACUCCAUCUUGGGCCGCCUGCGCCACUCGGCGCCUUUCCUCACUCCCGGACCGGGUCAGGACCCUGGGACCCCGGUCACCCCAACGCAGAGCUGCCUCCAGGGAGGCCCACCUGAGCCCCAAAGACCCCCUAGGGCAGGUACUUCCCAGAGCGAGCUGGGAAUGCGACAUACCCCAGUGCGCCCCGGCACACCAUCGCUCCUCGAAACUGGGGUGUCCUCCCGGAGCACCAGACCCCAGGUCCCGGGACCUAUACUGUGCCCUCGCUCUUGGGCCCGCACGUCAUCGGCAAAGUCUCUGCCCCAACUUACUCCAUCUACGGCCGCAGUGCAGUGGGCAAUUUCUUCGAGGACCUUAGCAAGGUGGGGGAAGGGCCGAUGGGCUCAGUGUAGAGAAGGGUCUACGGGGAGGACUGAAGAGGAUCUGGUCAACAGGGAAUGGGGACCAGACGCAGCACCCCUUCCGCCCUCCCGCAGACCCCGGGGCCUUGCGCCUACCACGUGGUGAACCCUGGGGUCUACAAGCCCCGGGCCCCCCAAUUCACGAUGCUAGCACGGACUUCAGUUCCCCAAGACAACAAUCUGAAGCCGGGGCCCGCAGCCUACAACGUGGACCAGCGCCGGAAGCCUCGUGGCUGGACCUUCGGAAUCAGGCACUCGGACUACCUGGCCCCGCUGGUGACCGACGUGGACGACUGACCUCCUGGACGGGCGCGGCCCCACAAUUGUUUGCUUAAAGUUUCUGAGUC
Nycticebus coucang (slow loris) is the source of this 3071-nucleotide RNA transcript. It is a transcript of the gene named outer dense fiber of sperm tails 3B, with no coding region annotated. The record is from RefSeq and is a predicted model, not a curated record. The transcript is spliced from 5 exons. NCBI's taxonomy places the organism in Eukaryota, Metazoa, Chordata, Mammalia, Primates, Lorisidae.